Molecule: ribosomal RNA, 549 nt
Filed under: uncultured marine eukaryote
Lineage: Eukaryota
Description: SSU rRNA
Rfam family: Eukaryotic small subunit ribosomal RNA
Source: RNAcentral
AAAAAGCUCGUAGUCGGAUUUUGGCUGAGAACGGUCGGUCCGCCGUUAGGUGUGCACUGACUGGUCUCAGCUUCCUGGUGAGGAGGUGUGCUUCAUCGCCACUUAGUCACCGUGGUUACUUUGAAAAAAUUAGAGUGUUCAAAGCGGGCUUACGCUUGAAUAUAUUAGCAUGGAAUAACACCAUAGGACUCCUGUCCUAUUUCGUUGGUCUCGGGACGGGAGUAAUGAUUAAGAGGAACAGUUGGGGGCAUUCGUAUUUCAUUGUCAGAGGUGAAAUUCUUGGAUUUAUGAAAGACGAACUUCUGCGAAAGCAUUUGCCAAGGAUGUUUUCAUUGAUCAAGAACGAAAGUUGGGGGCUCGAAGAUGAUUAGAUACCAUCCUAGUCUCAACCAUAAACGAUGCCGACUAGGGAUUGGCGGAUGUUAAUUGAUGACUUCGCCAGCACCUUAUGAGAAAUCAAAGUUUUUGGGUUCCGGGGGGAGUAUGGUCGCAAGGCUGAAACUUAAAGGAAUUGACGGAAGGGCACCACCAGGCGUGGAGCCUGCGGCU